RNAcentral lists this unclassified non-coding RNA (249 nucleotides) under Hevea brasiliensis (rubber tree). The record is from RNAcentral. Lineage: Eukaryota; Viridiplantae; Streptophyta; Magnoliopsida; Malpighiales; Euphorbiaceae.
GCAAAAUCAGAACAGGAGAUGGAGGGAGGAGAGAUUUCUUUUUCUUUGUAAUGUCUUGAAAGGUAGAUUCUUAAUUGAAGCUCACAUAUUUAAUUUUCAGAACGUCAUCAUUUGAACUGUUCUGCUGCAUCUUUGAGCAGAAAAGAAUGUUUAGAAACCCAGUAUCCAUAUUGACUGUCAUAUACAUGUACUCAGAAUUCUUGGGGAUUUUGGCACUUUGGUAUAAACAUGAAGAUUUUAACAGUUAAG